This is a long non-coding RNA of Polypterus senegalus (gray bichir), 3068 nucleotides long. RefSeq lists it as uncharacterized. The record is from RefSeq and is a predicted model, not a curated record. The transcript has 3 exons. NCBI's taxonomy places the organism in Eukaryota, Metazoa, Chordata, Cladistia, Polypteriformes, Polypteridae.
CACAGGUGUUGGUGCAAUGCUGAGCCAAAGCGUCAAGGGUGUUGAGCACCCCGUCAUGUUCCUGUGCCUGCUGGAACUGCUGUAACAGGAAACCAGGCUUGGCACCCUACCGUGGCCACAAUCAGCAGCAGGGAUCCAAGCUUGGAUUUUGAAGGUUGACUGUGCUGUUGGUUAGAUGUCUCUUCAUGCUGUGUGAUCCAAAGAAGGUUGAAGAGGCUCCAGGAAGCAGCAAAGGACUGUGGAGCCGACCCGGACUGAUACAGAGAACAUAUAUAUACGUUUGGUGACAGUACACAUCCCUCCAUCCAUUUUCAGACCCGAUUAAUCUGAUUCAGAGCUCCAGCGGGCAACAGCAUUAGGUGCGAAAACAGAAAUCAACCUCAGACAAGGUAACAGCAGUAUAAUUUGGAAGGUAGCAGUUACAGCUUUGGACUUCAAACACUAAAGUUGUGGACUCAAAUCCUGCUACUAAUUCUGUGUGGCUAUGAGGAAGUCACUUCACUUGCCUGUGUUCCAACUGGAAAAACAAACCAAUUGUAACCAACUGUAUCUCUCAGAUGUUGUAUGGUGCUUUGGAUAAAGCUGUGAGAUAAGUAAUAAAAAUACUUAAAUAUCAGUUUGGGAGAAUCUAGGGAUGUCUUUAGAUCUGUUAAGGGUAUAAUUGUGUAUAUCUAAUCUGGUGACUGGCCUGUCUUAAUUUAAUGUUCAUAUUGUCAGAUUGUGGCUGGGGCUUUGUCCCUAGCCACCUCUUCUGUUCUCAAACCACCCAUGACCCCUCGAUUAGUCCCUUUUGCUGUGCAACAGUGAUCAGGCUGUGGUUUCUUGUUCAGAUGUGACUCACUUUUUAUUUUAUGCCCAGUUAGGUACUUUUACCUGUUUUUGUAUCUGUACAUGACAUUUCACCUAUUCUUUGUACUCUAUGUCUUCUACCUGCCUGUUUUUGAUCUGUUGCUUGUGUUUACUACAGCUCUGCAUUGUAGUAAGUGGUCAGGAAAUAUUAAUUAAUGCAUUAAUAUGCUUUUGGCAAAAAUGUUAAGUUAUACAAAUAAUUUUCUUUUUUUUUUUAAUGACAGAUCAAUCACACACACACACACACACAUACGGAAUUCACCUCUCUCACUUAUACAUGUCAAACUUAGGGUCAAUAGCAUUUAAUUUCAUGUCACAUCAUUUUCCACUGCUUAUCCGAGACCAGAGCACAAGCGCUACAGUCUUAGCAGUGAGGUCGACAUCCCUUUUCCUCAGCCACACUUGUUAACACUUACUAUGGAAUCUCAAGGCAUUCUCAUGCCAUCUGGAAGAUAUAAUCAUCCUGGCAGGCCCAGAGUCUUCUCCUGGUUCUCCUCCCAGCUGGUUUUGGUGUAAAACCUUCUGCAGGAGGCAUCAGGACCAUCAGGUGGCUCCUCUCAAUAAGAAGGGUCAUUAGUUAUACUCUGAGCCAUUCCCAGAUGUCUGUGUUUCCCUCUCUAUCUCUAAGGGAGAGCCUAGGCAGAGUGUGGAGAAAGCUCAUUUUGGCCGCUUGUACCUGCAAUCUUGUCCUUUUGGUCAUUACCCAAAGCUGAUAACCAUAGGUGAGGUUAGGGAUGUAGAUCGACUGGAAAAUUGAGUGCUUUGACUUCUGGCUCAGCUCCUUCUUUACUACUAUGGAUCAGUAUAGUGACCACAUACCUCUGUUUGCCUUCCUGAUCCGUUUGUUGGUCUCAUCAUCUAUUUUCCCCUCACUCCAAAAUCCUUAACCUCCGCCACCUGUAGCAGUAACUCACCUCAUACUCAGAGAGGACAGUCCACCUUUUUCAUACUGAGGACCAUGACCUCUGAUUGGGAGGUGUUGAUCCUCAUCCUUGACACUUCACACUCAUUCACAAACAGUCCAAAUGUGUGCUGGAGUUCACAGUCCAAUGAAGCCAACAGAACCACACUAUCAGCAAAAAGCACUAAUGCAAUUCGGUGUCACUUUAGGUUAGGUACUGCAAAAAUGCAUUGAUUACUCAUUUACUCUUAUAUAACAAGAUGUUAACAAAGGCUUCGUUGGGUCCUUUAUAACAAAAAAAAUCAGUAGAUCAGUUAUUCAUCUGAAUGCAGUGUGGCAUAUUGACAUGAUGGUAAAAUUACCUGUUAAUGUCUUAUACUAAAUAUGUAAUAUCAAGAGAAAUGUGUCUCAGUUAAUCCACCACAGACCAACCCACAGUGACGUUCUGCUUGUAGGUCACAUUCUACCACACUUUCUAAUACUGUACUUUCUAAGUGUUAUGAAGAGCCAAAGAAGUGAACACCUGCAAUUCUAAGGCCACUGAACUGGACACCCUCUCAUCUCCAGCUGCGCCUUGAUAUUCUGUCCAUAAAAAUCAUAAACAGGACAGGAGACAAAGCACAGUCUCACACCCAAUGAGAACCAUGCAAAUGUUUUACCAAGUGUAAGGACACAGUUAUCACUAUGGACCAAAUAGCCCUUAUUAAGGGCUCCGAAAUAUGCUUUCCCAGCAUCCCCACAGAAUCCCUUGAAGAAAACAGUCUAAUGGCUUCCAGUCCACAGAACACAUGUAGACCGAGUGGGCACACAUCCAUGCCCCCUCCAGGAUCCUUAUAAGGGUAAAGUGUUGGUCCAUUGUUGAACAGCAUGGACAUAAUCCCCAUUGCACCUCUUGGAUCUGAGCUUCUAUGACUGGGCAAAGUCUCCUUUCCAUUACCAUGGUAUAAGCUUUCCCAGGUAGGGUGAGCAAUGUGAUUCCCUGAUAACUGGAGCACACCCUCUAGUCUCCCUAAAAGGGGGACCACAACCUCGGUCUGCAUUUCAAGGGCACUGCUCACCCAUGACAAUGCAACAAUGUCCAAAGCCUUUAGCAUUUCUGGGAGGAUCUCUUUCCCCCAACAGGCCCUUGCCACUGCGGAGCUGUUUGACUACCUAAGUGACCUCCCUCAGGGAAAUAGGCAUUAAUCCCCCAUUAGCUUCUGGCUCUGCUCCUCCACAGUCAGCCACAUCUACUAAAAGGAGGUAGUGAAGACUUCCAGUAAGUGAUCAGUUAUUUUAUGUUUUUAAUUUAGUUUACUUUGCAGAGACAUUCAAGAGU